GUUCAUGGAUGGACCCUCCUCUCCCCAGAAAUGUAUCCCAGGUCCCUGGCAAACCCUGGAGCUAUGGCAUCACAGAUCUAGAACUAUAAGGGCCAUGAGAAAUCAUCUAGGCCAAUGCUAUCAUUUGACAGAAGAAGAAAGUCCCAGAGAGGGUAAGGGACUUGACCAAAAUCAUGCCGGCAAAUGGAAGAGUUGAGAUUUGAAAACAGGUCCGACAUGUGAAAUUAUGAAGGAUAAAACGAACAAACCCAGGGGAAUGUUAUAUGCAUCAAUGCCUAUCAAUGAUGAUCAUGGAAAUGGACCUGCCAUGAUUCUAGAGCAGUGUCGUCAAAUUCAAGUAGAAAUGGAGGUCACCAAUCAGUCUCUUCAUGAGGAUCCCUAUGGUGAAUCUGGUAUACCUCACUUGAGAGGGGGCAUGUUCUUGGCACCCCUGCUCUUGAGGAGUGUGGACAUCCUCUAGGGCUGGAGUUGGAGUGACUUAAGGGCAAGGCCCAGCAUAAAAGAUUGGAAAGAGUCUCCCAUUGACCCAUCAACUAAUCCUCAGCUCUUCUACCUCUACCUCUGCCACCAAAGCCAAGGAGGACCAUGCAGCAAUCAAAAGAGAGUCCUGAGGUCAUGGGUAAUCCUCUAACUUGGGCCAAGAAAGUGUGGGGGACAUAUGAAACAUGGUGUACAGAGACUCACUGAUAAAGCUAUUAAAAUGUGGGUGUUAGGGGAUAGCUGGGUGGCUCAGUGGAUCUAGAGAUGGGAGGUCCUGGGUUCAAAUGUGGCCUCAGACACUUCUUAGUUGUGUGACCCUGGCCAAGUCACUUAACUGCCAUUGCCUAGUCCUUACCUUACAUUGCCUACUCCUCUGCCUUGGAACCAAUACCAAGCAUUCAUUCUAAGAUAGAAGGCAAGGAUUAUUUUUAAAAUGGAGGCAUUGGGAUUGGGGAACCCAGUUAUGUUUUAUAUCUAGUUAGUCCAUGUAUUCUAUCUAUCUAUCUAUCUAUCUAUCUAUCUAUCUAUCUAUCUAUCUAUCUAUCUAUCCAUCUAUCUAUCCAUCCAUCCAUCCAUCCAUCCAUCCAUCCAUCCAUCCAUCCAUCCAUCCAUCUAUCUAUCAUCUAUCUAUCUAUCUACCUAAAACUUGGCGCUAGUCUGAAGUUUCAUUAGAAGAGGAAACUAUUAAUGGAAAAACUACCUUUCCUAAUACAAGUCAGCCCCCUUUCUGUAGUUCAUACCUUAGAGUUUCCUAAAACUGAGAAGUUAAAUAAUUAAGAGGUCAAGUGACUUGCCC
Molecule: long non-coding RNA, 1276 nt
Filed under: Monodelphis domestica (gray short-tailed opossum)
Lineage: Eukaryota; Metazoa; Chordata; Mammalia; Didelphimorphia; Didelphidae
Description: lncRNA (ENSMODG00000036848.1)
Source: RNAcentral